AAGAGGUCGUUUGGUUGGUGGUGCAUGGAGUGUCACAAAUAGUGAACCUCCAAGUUGGCAAAGCGCGCCAACCCGAGAAUUCUGUAGAGCGCAAUGGCGGAGGCCAUCCGGUUUUUUUCUACCAAAGACAAAGACACAAAACCAAAGACACCAAAACCGUUGCUGCGCCAGGCCUGGCCGGAGGACGAUCCUCCGACUUGACUCGACCACCGCGGGAUACACUAGAACACACGAACACACACACACAUGGUUAGGUUAGUUUUAAAUCGACGUAAAAUCAAUAAAUUAGGACAACUUAA
Molecule: long non-coding RNA, 299 nt
Organism: Culex quinquefasciatus (southern house mosquito)
Lineage: Eukaryota; Metazoa; Arthropoda; Insecta; Diptera; Culicidae
Exons: 3
Source: RefSeq, a predicted model, not a curated record